CGAGAGACGCGCAAGACUUGCGGUGUAUUACUACAGAUUGUUUUACCGACUUAUUUGGGGUUACUGCCGAUCGAAAGAUCGAGGCAAACAGCAGUAACACGGCAGCGCAGAGCAAGAGCUCAUAAGACCAGGCCAACCCAAGCCAGUUUGCCUGACGACAAUAGAGUUGUGGAACCACCUGAUCCCUUGCCGAACUCAGAAGUGAAACGCAACAUCGCCGAUGGUAGUGUGGGGUUUCCCCAUGUGAGAGUAGGUCAUCGUCAGGC
Molecule: ribosomal RNA, 266 nt
Filed under: Microbulbifer marinus
Lineage: Bacteria; Pseudomonadati; Pseudomonadota; Gammaproteobacteria; Cellvibrionales; Microbulbiferaceae
Source: RNAcentral